Molecule: long non-coding RNA, 558 nt
Organism: Brassica oleracea var. oleracea
Lineage: Eukaryota; Viridiplantae; Streptophyta; Magnoliopsida; Brassicales; Brassicaceae
Exons: 4
Source: RefSeq, a predicted model, not a curated record
UGCUGUCUCUGUGCCACCAUGUCCAUAGCCAGCAUUUGUUAGUUGUAUCUGUCUCCUCGCUGAAUCAUCUUCGUAAAGACUAUCAAGCAAUAGCUUGUCGAAUCCUCCUGCCUAUAAAACACAACAAGAGAGAACAAACAACAAACCAAUGGCGAUGAGUGUUGUUGUUGUUGUUGUUUUGAGGAGUGACCAGUGCUAGUUCCCAACCGGAUCCACCGGUUUCUAUUAAGCUUAAACUAUUGGAUGGACCUGGAGCUUCAUGACCUGUAGAGACCAAUAACAGAGCCAACGCAUUGCGGUCUUCUAUCUCUGUGGCUUUCGGGUUUAUCUCACUCAGGCCCUGUGAAGUAGAAAAGAGGGGUCAAGGGGGUUUGAGAGUUUAGCCAAAAGAAAUGUCAAUACACAUUAAUACAGUAUGUAGAAAGAAGAUUCACCAGCAAGUCAUCCGUGUCUAUCAAGAAAGAAGGUUCUUCAGGCUGAGCAGACUGUUCUUCUUCAUCUUGUUCUUCUUCCUCCUCUUUUUCAUAAUACUCCUGUUAGAACAGCAAAUGCCAACCA